RNAcentral lists this ribosomal RNA (501 nucleotides) under bacterium enrichment culture clone ALO1_GLFRUDD03GJVLE. RNAcentral describes it as "bacterial SSU rRNA". It matches the Rfam family "Bacterial small subunit ribosomal RNA", at positions 9 to 503 of the family's 1533-position model. The record is from RNAcentral.
GAGUUUGAUCCUGGCUCAGAUUGAACGCUGGCGGCAUGCCUUACACAUGCAAGUCGAACGGCAGCACGGGAGCUUGCUCCUGGUGGCGAGUGGCGAACGGGUGAGUAAUGCAUCGGAACGUAUCCUGGAGUGGGGGAUAACGUAGCGAAAGUUACGCUAAUACCGCAUAUUCUGUGAGCAGGAAAGCGGGGGACCUUCGGGCCUCGCGCUCUUGGAGCGGCCGAUGUCGGAUUAGCUAGUUGGUGAGGUAAAGGCUCACCAAGGCGACGAUCCGUAGCAGGUCUGAGAGGAUGAUCUGCCACACUGGAACUGAGACACGGUCCAGACUCCUACGGGAGGCAGCAGUGGGGAAUUUUGGACAAUGGGGGCAACCCUGAUCCAGCCAUGCCGCGUGAGUGAAGAAGGCCUCGGUUGUAAGACUCUUCGUCGAGGGAGGAAAGUUAGCACCGGACGAAUACCUAGGUGUAGAUGACGGUACCGUUCGUAUAAGAAGACGACCGG